This 270-nucleotide ribosomal RNA is filed under the name unidentified marine bacterioplankton. Its description in RNAcentral is "partial 16S ribosomal RNA". It matches the Rfam family "Bacterial small subunit ribosomal RNA", at positions 65 to 339 of the family's 1533-position model. The record is from RNAcentral.
AACAUGGGGAAGCUUGCUCUCUGAUGGCGAGUGGCGAACGGGUGAGUAACAUAUCGGGAACGUGCCUAGUAAUGGGGAAAACUAAUCGAAAGAUUUAGCUAAUACCGCAUACGACCUACGGGUGAAAGCAGGGGAUCUUCGGACCUUGCGUUAUUAGAGCGGCCGAUAUCUGAUUAGGUAGUUGGUAGGUAAAGCCUACCAAGCCGACGAUCAGUAGCUGGUCUGAGAGGACGAUCAGCCACACUGGAACUGAGACACGGUCCAGACUCC